Molecule: ribosomal RNA, 253 nt
Filed under: uncultured bacterium
Lineage: Bacteria
Description: partial 16S ribosomal RNA
Rfam family: Bacterial small subunit ribosomal RNA
Source: RNAcentral
UACGUAGGGUGCGAGCGUUAAUCGGAAUUACUGGGCGUAAAGCGUGCGCAGGCGGUUUUGUAAGCCAGAUGUGAAAUCCCCGGGCUUAACCUGGGAAUGGCAUUUGGGACUGCAAGGCUUGAGUGCGGCAGAGGAGACUGGAAUUCCUGGUGUAGCAGUGAAAUGCGUAGAUAUCAGGAGGAACACCUGCGGUGUAGACGGCUAUCUGGACGGUUACUGACGCUGAGACACGAAAGCGUGGGUAGCAAACAGG